GGCAGCGCUGCGGCCGUCCCCAUCCAUUCCCCAUCCGUUCCCCAUCCGUUCCCCUGGGAGCUGGAGCGGUCGCUGCUCCCUGGAAUGUUUUUAAGUGUUAGAACACCUGCGCCCGCCGGAGCGGGAGGCGCGGGGACAGGGUGGCGGUGCGGGGCUCCCUUCGGUACCGGGACAAACGCGGAGCACCGAGCGCGCCGGCACCGGCCCAGCGCAGGGCGCGGGUCCGCGGGCACUGAGCCAGGCCUAAAGCAAGCCGGGACCCUCCAGAGAGGGGCACAAGCAGGACACACAAGGGAGGUGUGAGAGAUGUGCAAGUUUGCGGCCGCUCACUCCAGGCAAAGCCCGUUCUCGGGAGGUCUGGACGCAGUUGUUUGAAAUUCCCAGUCUGAUGGGGCAUCAGUUGUGGUUUACACUCACCGGGCUCGGCCCGCUGGCCACACAAGCCCCAAAAGCACCAUGAGGUGCCUCGGCCUGCGAACACCCCGGCACAUCCUGCGCCUCCUGCACCCAUCCAGGGCCGGGGACACAAGAACUGCCAAGGCUCCUGGGUCCCUUCUCCCUGGACAAGAGGAGCCGAAGGACGAUCAGAUAUCCCAGAUAUCCAGCUACAUUGGUUAUUUGCUUGUCACCCUCUCCCAGUGUUACAUCACGCCUCUUUUCCCACCCUCUUCCCGUUUUUCCUGUGUUUCCACAUCCUUUUUUCCUGUUUGUUGCCACUGGUUUUCAUUCUUUAUCUUCGCUUCUUUCCUAGUCCUUUAACUUUGUCAGUUCCCUCCUUUUUGUUGUUGUUUUUUUUUUUUUAGCUUUCUCCUAAGCCAUUCAAUAAACAAAGCAAGCAGAAAAGAAUAAACUUUCCAAGCUGAUGCCAAGCAAGCAAUACCAACAGAGCUUUUCAGCUAUUUCCAUGAUUCCAUGUGUGGGCCAUCUUCUCUUUCCUUUUGUUAGGCUUGCUUAUUUAGGCACCUUCUCUGCAAAAUUUAAUGUUUUUUGCAUUAUGAGUAAUCCCAUUUUAGAUGAGAGAAGAUGACUGUAUGCUAACUAAAUUGCUAUAUUUGUGAACAUAACUGAUCUUAAAUUACACUCUGGAGGAACCUCCCCUUCUCCCCAUUGAUUUUAUGUGUUCUAAGAAGCCUGGCCACUAGUUUUAGGUCUCUAACCUCACUGCCUAAAACCAAGGCAGACUUUUCACAUUACUUAGUUUAAAUUAAUACCUUUCAGUAAGAAUUCUCAUAUUUUCUGAACUAGUUCAUGCAUCUUUUUAGGCUCAAACCUUAGACUGGAAGCUCUGUGGGGCAGGGGCUACUUACUUUGGCAAAGUACAAUCAAGCCCUGAACUCAUCUGAGAUAUUUAUAUGCUGGAAGUUGUAGAAAUAGCAAAUAAUUGACUCCAGAUAGAAACUUUUGGGUGUUAAUUUUCUGAACAUGAUUGCUAUUAAAAGAUUUAAUAAAUCAGAUUCAAACACUGCGCUUUUAAAGACUUUUUUUUUUCCCUUUAAGAUUAAUGCAACAAUCAAAAUCCACCGUGAGAAUUCUUUUUCCUUUUUGACUUUAAUGCCUUCCAUAAGCUAAACAUAUUUCUAAAUAAGACUGAAUUUUCACAAGGCCAGAGGAAGCCUUGCACAUCAACACCCAGCGAGCUGGAGUGGCAUGAAGCAAUAUAAAAUCAUAAAGGCUGUAGUAAAAGCAGUACCCUUGAGAGGUGACUGUCCAUGGAGAGAAGAACUGCUCUGAAACUUAGAAAAUGCUCAAGGUUUGAGAAUUAAUGCCAGGCAGCUGUCCGGUUCAACUAAGCAUAUACAAAUCAACUAUAUCCAUGAAUAUUAUUAUUUCUCUGUAAUUUUGUUAAAGACAAGGCAAAGUUACUAAAGCCUAACAAUCACCCAGUAAUAUCUUGUCAGUUAUAAAGUAUCCAGAUGGUUUAUUUGAAUGGAGUCCAGCAGUACGUAAUCUGAAUGUGUACAAACUACUAAGCCUCCCUAUAGCUGAAAUAAGUAUUUCAGAAUAUUACUUUAAGGUUUCAUUAUUUUUCUUCCUUUCUGACUGGUGUGCAAAACUCUCUGUUUUCUUACACUGGCAGCCAUAGAAAUACUGGUCUAUUGUGUAUUAAUCCUAUACAAAACUUGGCUGUGUUUGUAUGGCAAGAUGUCAAGUAAAGGUUCCAUUUGUUUGUUUUUGUUUUUGUCAUCCUUGCAUAUGCCCCACUGGAGUGAAAUGGGAAAGAGUCUUCCCUGACACAGGAGGAGAGAGGAAAGCCCCAGUCAAGAGCAUUCUGGAAAUCUCUUUCUGCCAGCUGGCAGGAACACGGCUCCUGCUCCCCAUGGGGUCCAGGGAGAAAAUGAUGGGUGACACACCUGACGAGGGGGGACACUGAGGAAAACCAGCUAAGUGAAGCAGUAGGGUAUGAACUAAAAACAAUAAUUUGGUUUAGAGAAUUUGGAAAGCUUAAUAGUGCUAUUUGUGCUUCAUCACAGUUUCCUGUAGUCAAACAUGAGGGAGGACAAUAAAAAUAGGAACUCCAUAGAUAUCACAAUGGGAUUUUUUUCCUAUAAUUUUUUUUCUAUGGACUUCAUAGAGGUAUGUCCAGUGUGAGUAGAUUACAGGAAAAAAAAUUCUACUUUUUGUAAAGAACUUGGAUUGUCCCUAAAGUAAGUGGGAGGGAAUAAAUGUGAACAUAGACUUUAAAGGGUCAGAGGUAACUGCAGGUCCAAAAUGAAAGAUAUAAGAUAACCAGAAGAUGCAUUUGCAAUGCACUCUAAUCAUAACGAAAUGAAACACCUCUUUUUUCUGAAUUCCAAGCCAGCUGGAGCCCAAGUGACAAACCCUUCUCCUCGUCCUUAACAAUGAAAUUUCUCAGGGCCCAGUGGAAAGCUGUAACCUGCCCUAGUGAGCUCUGAGCUGAUAUCCUGAGCAUGCAAAGCCCUGAUGCUGCUACUUCUGAGAAACAGCUUGAAAAGGAAGAAAAAACAGUACUAGCUGUCUGCUGGGAAGAAAACUUAAUACUAUUUGAUGUGCAUUGAAGUUAAAACACACUUCAUGGCAAAGCUCUGUGGACACAAUUCAUGUACUUCAAUAUAUUCAGUCAGUUAAAGAAAAGUUUUCCUGCACUGUCUGUCUGAGCAUCUCAGCCCUAAUCUGAAGGCACCACCAUCUAGUGGGAUAAGAAGGUAUUUAAAUUUCUUUACAUUCUUUUGGUAUUUUUAAACAUGGACAUUGCAUUCUA
Long non-coding RNA from Passer domesticus (house sparrow), 3220 nucleotides. RefSeq lists it as uncharacterized. Lineage: Eukaryota; Metazoa; Chordata; Aves; Passeriformes; Passeridae. The record is from RefSeq and is a predicted model, not a curated record. The transcript is spliced from 3 exons.